GGAGGUGUCGCAUAGUGGUCUAGUGCGCAGUCCUGGAAAGACUGUGUGCCGCAAGGCACCGGAAGUUCGAAUCUUCCCACCUCCGCCA
This 88-nucleotide transfer RNA is filed under the name bacterium. RNAcentral's name for it is "tRNA-Ser". It matches the Rfam family "tRNA". Rfam says of the family: Transfer RNA (tRNA) molecules are approximately 80 nucleotides in length. Their secondary structure includes four short double-helical elements and three loops (D, anti-codon, and T loops). The record is from RNAcentral.